RNAcentral lists this transfer RNA (56 nucleotides) under Triodontophorus nipponicus. RNAcentral describes it as "tRNA-Leu". The record is from RNAcentral. Lineage: Eukaryota; Metazoa; Nematoda; Chromadorea; Rhabditida; Strongylidae.
ACAUAAAUAGUAUAAUAAAUACGUUAGAUUUAGAAUCUAAAAAUGUAAUUUAUGUU